Molecule: ribosomal RNA, 585 nt
Filed under: Triticum aestivum (bread wheat)
Lineage: Eukaryota; Viridiplantae; Streptophyta; Magnoliopsida; Poales; Poaceae
Description: partial small subunit ribosomal RNA
Source: RNAcentral
AUGAAAUGCCUCUUGAAAGGGAGAUUUUUGCCCGCUGAUUAUGACCAGAUCCUAUUUAUCCAAUUUCAAAAUUCUGCUCAAGGAAAUAAGACUGUUUCAGAUUACACGGAGGAGUUUCUAAGGCUACAAGUGAGGUGCAACCUUGCUGAAACUAAAGAGCAACAAGUUGCAAGGUACAUCAAUGGUCUCGAUGAUGCUAUUCAAGAUCAAUUGAUGAUGCAACAAAUCUGGUCCGUCGAUCAAGCACAAGCUCUAGCCUUAAAGGUCGAGAGGUUUGUGAGGAUGAGAAAGACAACUAAGGCUCCAUAUCCUCAUACCGAAGGCUCAUCUAGGAGCCAACCUAAUAGAGUGGAAGAAAAGACCACUCCAGCAAAGACAAAACAACCCAUCCCGAAGCAAAUUAGAGGCAAGGGUAAGGCAAAUGAAGGCCCAAAGUGCUAUAAAUGUGGUAAAGAGGGGCACAUAUCUAGCGGUUGCCCACUAAGGAAAUUUGUUAACACGACUAUCCAUGAUGGUGAAAGCGAUGAGGAAGAAUACGAAUCUGAAGAUGUAGACGAGCAAGAGGUUUGUCAAGAAGAAGUUUAA